AUGACACAUAUUAAGAAUAAAAUCUUUACAUGGUAUCUUCGUCACAGAGUCAUUCCUACUAAAGAUAACCUUAUUAAGAGGAAUUGGCAUGGAAGUCCAUAAUGUGUCUUUUGUCACCAUGAUGAGACCAUAAAACAUUUAUUCUUCCAACGCAAAUUGGCUCAUUCUAUAUGGCCAGUCAUCCAAAUAACUUAUGUCUUGUAUCCUCCUUGUAGUGUUGCUAAUGUAUUUGGCAACUAGUUAUAUGAGAUUAACCAUAGAUUUAGAAUUCUUCUCAGGGUAGGAGUGUUUGCCGUUAUUUGGUCUCUUUGGCUAUGUAGAAAUGAUAAGGUUUUUAAUAUAAAAGUACUUCUCCGAUGCAGGUUAUCUACAGAUGUAUCGAGACUUUUCAUUUAUCAUCCUUUCUACAACGCGUGA
RNAcentral lists this ribosomal RNA (417 nucleotides) under Triticum aestivum (bread wheat). RNAcentral describes it as "partial small subunit ribosomal RNA". The record is from RNAcentral. Lineage: Eukaryota; Viridiplantae; Streptophyta; Magnoliopsida; Poales; Poaceae.